CCCUUAGAUGUCCUGGGCCGCACGCGCGUUACACUGAUGCAUUCAACGAGCAUAUAACCUUGGCCGAGAGGCCUGGGUAAUCUUGUUAACAUGCAUCGUGAUAGGGAUAGAUUAUUGCAAUUAUUAAUCUUGAACGAGGAAUUCCUAGUAAUCGCAGUUCAUCAAACUGCAAUGAUUACGUCCCUGCCCUUUGUACACACCGCCCGUCGCACCUACCGAUUGAAUGGUCCGGUGAGGACUCGGGAUUGUGGUUUAGCUCCUUCAUUGGGGCCUGACUGCGAGAACUUGUCCGAACCUUAUCAUUGAGAGGAAGGUGAAGUCGUAACA
Molecule: ribosomal RNA, 327 nt
Filed under: uncultured eukaryote
Lineage: Eukaryota
Description: partial 18S ribosomal RNA
Rfam family: Eukaryotic small subunit ribosomal RNA
Source: RNAcentral